UACAGAGGUCCCAAGCGUUGUUCGGAUUCAUUGGGCGUGAAGGGUGCGUAGGCGGCGGGGUAAGUCGGAUGUGAAAUCUCGGGGCUCAACCUCGAAACUGCAUUCGAUACUGCCUUGCUAGAGUACUGGAGAGGAGAUCGGAAUUUACGGUGUAGCAGUGAAAUGCGUAGAUAUCGUAAGGAAGACCAGUGGCGAAGGCGGAUCGCUGGACAGUUACUGACACUGAGGCACGAAAGCCAGGCGAGCAAACGGG
RNAcentral lists this ribosomal RNA (253 nucleotides) under uncultured bacterium. Its description in RNAcentral is "partial 16S ribosomal RNA". It matches the Rfam family "Bacterial small subunit ribosomal RNA", at positions 524 to 776 of the family's 1533-position model. The record is from RNAcentral.